This 305-nucleotide ribosomal RNA is filed under the name uncultured bacterium. RNAcentral's name for it is "bacterial SSU rRNA". It matches the Rfam family "Bacterial small subunit ribosomal RNA", at positions 334 to 656 of the family's 1533-position model. The record is from RNAcentral.
UUUGCCUACGGGGGGCAGCAGUGGGGAAUAUUGCGCAAUGGGCGAAAGCCUGACGCAGCAACGCCGCGUGGAGGAUGAAGGUUUUCGGAUUGUAAACUCCUUUUGUUAGAGAAGAUAAUGACGGUAUCUAACGAAUAAGCACCGGCUAACUCCGUGCCAGCAGCCGCGGUAAUACGGAGGGUGCAAGCGUUACUCGGAAUCACUGGGCGUAAAGAGCGCGUAGGCGGGAUAGCAAGUCAGAUGUGAAAUCCUAUGGCUUAACCAUAGAACUGCAUUUGACACUGUUAUUCUAGAGUAUGGGAGAG